GUUAUGAGUGUUUGUUUCUCAACUUUGAGGGGGGCUUUUGAUAUAUAUCACCGGCAUCAUUGAGGAAAGGAAAAAAAUUAUCAACGAUACCGUUAAUUGACACAUUUGACACAUUAUUAAUAGCAUAACCUGG
This is a long non-coding RNA of Octopus sinensis (East Asian common octopus), 133 nucleotides long. RefSeq lists it as uncharacterized. NCBI's taxonomy places the organism in Eukaryota, Metazoa, Mollusca, Cephalopoda, Octopoda, Octopodidae. The record is from RefSeq and is a predicted model, not a curated record. The transcript is spliced from 2 exons.